Molecule: ribosomal RNA, 738 nt
Filed under: Chlorosarcinopsis bastropiensis
Lineage: Eukaryota; Viridiplantae; Chlorophyta; Chlorophyceae; Chlorosarcinales; Chlorosarcinaceae
Description: SSU rRNA
Rfam family: Eukaryotic small subunit ribosomal RNA
Source: RNAcentral
GCAGCAGGCGCGCAAAUUACCCAAUCCCGACACGGGGAGGUAGUGACAAUAAAUAACAAAACUGGGCAUUUAUGUCUGGUAAUUGGAAUGAGUACAAUGUAAAUAUCUUAACGAGUAUCCAUUGGAGGGCAAGUCUGGUGCCAGCAGCCGCGGUAAUUCCAGCUCCAAUAGCGUAUAUUUAAGUUGUUGCAGUUAAAAAGCUCGUAGUUGGAUUUCGGGUGCGACGACGCGGUCUGCCUCUGGUAUGUACUGCGCUCGGCGCACCUUUCUGCCGGGGACGGGCUCCUGGGCUUUAUUGUCUGGGACUCGGAGUCGGCGAGGUGACCUUGAGCAAACGAGAGUGUUCAAAGCAAGCCUACGCUCUGAAUCAUUUAGCAUGGAAUCACGUGAUAGGACUCUGGCCUAUCUUGUUGGUCUGUAGGACCGGAGUAAUGAUUAAGAGGAACAGUCGGGGGCAUUCGUAUUUCAUUGUCAGAGGUGAAAUUCUUGGAUUUAUGAAAGACGAACUUCUGCGAAAGCAUUUGCCAAGGAUGUUUUCAUUGAUCAAGAACGAAAGUUGGGGGCUCGAAGACGAUUAGAUACCGUCGUAGUCUCAACCAUAAACGAUGCCGACUAGGGAUUGGCAGGUGUUCCAUUGAUGACCCUGCCAGCACCUUAUGAGAAAUCAAAGUUUUUGGGUUCCGGGGGGAGUAUGGUCGCAAGGCUGAAACUUAAAGGAAUUGACGGAAGGGCACCACC